ACGCACGCUGGCGGCGUGCUUCACCCCUGCCAGUCGCACGGAAAGGCCCUGCUUUUGUGGGGUGCUCGAGUGGCGAACGGGUGAGUAACACGUGAGUAACCUGCCCUUGACUUUGGGAUAACUUCAGGAAACUGGGGCUAAUACCGGAUAGGAGCUCCUGCUGCAUGGUGGGGGUUGGAACGUUUCGGCGGUUGGGGAUGGACUCGCGGCUUAUCCGCUUGUUGGUGGGGUAGUGGCUUACCAAGGCUUUGACGGGUAGCCCGCCUGGGAGGGUGACCGGCCACAUUGGGACUGAGAUACGGCCCAGACUCCUACGGGAGGCAGCAGUGGGGAAUAUUGCACAAUGGGCGGAAGCCUGAUGCAGCAACGCCGCGUGCGGGAUGACGGCCUUCGGGUUGUAAACCGCUUUCGCCUGUGACGAAGCGUGAGUGACGGUAAUGGGUAAAGAAGCACCGGCUAACUACGUG
RNAcentral lists this ribosomal RNA (467 nucleotides) under uncultured bacterium. RNAcentral describes it as "partial 16S ribosomal RNA". It matches the Rfam family "Bacterial small subunit ribosomal RNA", at positions 29 to 507 of the family's 1533-position model. The record is from RNAcentral.